Molecule: microRNA precursor, 206 nt
Filed under: Oryza punctata
Lineage: Eukaryota; Viridiplantae; Streptophyta; Magnoliopsida; Poales; Poaceae
Description: MIR812 microRNA precursor family
Rfam family: MIR812 microRNA precursor family
Source: Rfam by way of RNAcentral
AUCGAUCCCAUUUAUAAAGAAUUUUCGUAUUCAAUUUUUAUCAUUUAUCUUAUUUAAAAUUCUUUUAUAAUUAAUAUUUUUAUUGUUAUUAGAUGAUAAAGUGUGAAUAGUAUUUUUAUGUGUAACUUAUGUUUUUUAUUUUUUUAAAUUUUUUAAAUAAGAUGGAUGAUUAAAGUUAGAUACAGAAAUUUAUGAUUGUAUUUAAA